AUGUGAAUUAAAAUUGACCUUAAUGUUUUUAUUCAUUUGUUUGCUAGCUAUGUUUUGAUGUAACUGUUUGGUAAAAAAAGCUUAGAUUUUGGAGGAUGUCUAUUUUUGCUUCAAAAGAGGGUCUUAAUGCGGUGCUUGAGUUGUUAUUUGUUUAUGGAUAGUUUGUCUAGAACAACUGAUGUAACUGUCUUUUUUUUGUUCUCUUAGUUUAGGUUAUCUUUUUGUAUCAAUUUGUCGUUGGAUAUAUUUUGUGGAACUAAUCUUAUUAACUUCCUUUUAGUUUUGGU
Molecule: non-coding RNA, 287 nt
Organism: Arachis ipaensis
Lineage: Eukaryota; Viridiplantae; Streptophyta; Magnoliopsida; Fabales; Fabaceae
Source: RefSeq, a predicted model, not a curated record